CUACGGGCGGCACCAGUAGGGAAUCUUCGGCAAUGGACGGAAGUCUGACCGAGCAACGCCGCGUGAGUGAAGAAGGUUUUCGGAUCGUAAAGCUCUGUUGUAAGAGAAGAACGAGUGUGAGAGUGGAAAGUUCACACUGUGACGGUAUCUUACCAGAAAGGGACGGCUAACUACGUGCCAGCAGCCGCGGUAAUACGUAGGUCCCGAGCGUUGUCCGGAUUGAUUGGGGUAAAGCGAGCGCAGGCGGUUAGAUAAGUCUGAAGUUAAAGGCUGUGGCUUAACCAUAGUACGCUUUGGAAACUGUUUAACUUGAGUGCAGAAGGGGAGAGUGGAAUUCCAUGUGUAGCGGUGAAAUGCGUAGAUAUAUGGAGGAACACCGGUGGCGAAAGCGGCUCUCUGGUCUGUAACUGACGCUGAGGCUCGAAAGCGUGGGGAGCAAACAGGAUUAGAUACCCUGGUAGUC
This 463-nucleotide ribosomal RNA is filed under the name uncultured bacterium. RNAcentral's name for it is "partial 16S ribosomal RNA". It matches the Rfam family "Bacterial small subunit ribosomal RNA", at positions 339 to 795 of the family's 1533-position model. The record is from RNAcentral.